Peromyscus leucopus (white-footed mouse) is the source of this 1832-nucleotide long non-coding RNA. RefSeq lists it as uncharacterized. Lineage: Eukaryota; Metazoa; Chordata; Mammalia; Rodentia; Cricetidae. The transcript is spliced from 2 exons. The record is from RefSeq and is a predicted model, not a curated record.
GGCUGUGGUGUCCCUAGUAACGGAAGGUUCAGCGGGUCAGUGAGGUGUCACAAAGGAAUGGAGAGGAGCUUGACAGUAAGGCUGGAAGGGGCAACAGGAAGAACUGGGGACUCUGGGGCAGCACCAAUAGACAGAGACCUAGGGGAUGAGGUGAGCCAACAUAUAAACUGUUAUAAAAAAAAAUGACAGCAUCUGGGGAGAAAGACUACUCACUGCUGUCCAUUGGUGUAUUUCAUCAUUCAGUCCGAGUGAACGAGUGAAACCAGGAGAAGAAAAGGGACACGCGCCGGGCCAGGUGUGGUUGUGCGCACCUGUAACACCAGCACUCAGGGGACUGAGGCAGAAUUGCUGCAAGUUCUUGGCUAGUCCAGGCUGCUUAAUGAAUUCUAGGCCAACCUGGGCUAUAGUGUGAUUCUGCAGUCUCAACUGCCAAAACAAAAUACAUCAAAAGGAAAUCUGUGACUCUUGGCACAUCUAGAAAUGUGCAUUUGGCUGUUGUCCCCAGUUUCUGGGGUGAGUCCCAUACCUUGGCGCUCCCUGGGUGAUGGGAGCCUCUUAUUCCAAUGCAGUGAGUCUUAGAGCUUGCUACCUGAAUGUCCAGGCCUUGGAUAGAGCCCAGUUCUUUCAGCCCUACCCCUCAGCUGUAGGGCAGUAGAAGAUGCAGGAGUCUGAGUUAAUAAAGCCAUAGUGACUAAGGCGAUCGAAUCUUUAUAACAAUCUCUAAAUGAAGCACUCAGAGUUUCGAGACUGAAGAGCGAAUUGAAGUGCUGAGAUAGAGGUCCAUCCAAAGAGAGUAGUGCAGCUGAGUAGGCCUGGCACCACACUCUGCCUCUUGCAUUUGCUGUUCCCGGGUUGUUGGAUCCUUUAUAUUGUCUGGUGAUCUCUCUGCAAUCAGCGCACUGGUAUGCUUGCUUCUAAGGGCAAAAAGUCAACCUUGUCGGACCGACCUGGAGCCUGGGCGCCCCCUGCUGGUGUUAUUUGGUUUAAUGCUGUAUCAACCGCUUCUUAAAAACAUCAAUCCAGGGACUGAUUUUUCUCUCUAGUGUUUCCUUUUCUUUUUCUUUUUUCUUUCUUUUUUUGUAAAGUAGACUACAAGUGAAAAAUAAGAAAGAAGACCCAUCAGUUCAGUGAUCAAUGAAGCCUGGUCUCUUUGGAAGAAACAACGCCGCUGCCUGGGCUGCCUUUCACCUGGUCCUAGCCCAGUCAGGAUCCUACAGCUGUCUCAAGUUGAAUAGGAACGGCAAAUAAUUGAUUAUGCAGUUACAAGUAUGUUACCGGACUUUUAUAACUAAGUUCUGGCCCCUAGAGUCCGGACAACAAACUAGAAUCAACGGCCUGUCUCACAUGCCGGAGGACUGUGAAGAGCAGAGAGAGGACAUUUAAUCAAAGUGGCCACACUGGAAAACAGAUGCCGCCCACAUCCAUCAUCAAAGGGCAAGCCGGAACUUUGUAAAUACGUUGCAUAUUAUGUGCUAUGCGUAUGAAAGAAGGUUUGGGGGUAUGCAUAGCUGCCCGAACAGCUCAGACCGUGCUCUCACUGUUCUCUCUCCUCUCCUUUGCAAGGGAUGUUGUAGAAGUCAUCGCUGAGGGGAGCAAUCUGAUCCCCUUUGAAAUGCUCAGCCCACUCCGCGGGGUAGCCUCACAGUCAAGGAUGGAUCUCUCCUUUAGGGGUUGAUGUCCUGCGGCGAUCUUCUCUGCCAGGUUCUGCGGUGCUUGGGUUAAUUCAGGUCCCUCGCGGUAAGAUGUCUUAGAAUCCUAGUUAAAUCGACGCACUGAGAAUUCAGUGUACCCUCUCUUUAGACACAAACGAAUUUAAAACAUUUUAAGCAGUU